AACGAACGCUGGCGGCAUGCCUAACACAUGCAAUUCGAACGAGACCUUCGGGUCUAGUGGCGCACGUGUGCGUAACGCGUGGGAACCUGCCCUUAGGUUCGGAAUAACCCCCCGAAAGGGGUGCUAAUACCGGAUAAUGUCUUCGGACCAAAGAUUUAUCGCCUUUGGAUGGGCCCGCGUUGGAUUAGCCAGUUGGUAGGGUAAAAGCCUACCAAGGCGACGAUCCAUAGCUGGUCUGAGAGGAUGAUCAGCCACACUGGGACUGAGACACGGCCCAGACUCCUACGGGAGGCAGCAGUGGGGAAUAUUGGACAAUGGGCGAAAGCCUGAUCCAGCAAUGCCGCGUGAGUGAUGAAGGCCUUAGGGUUGUAAAGCUCUUUUACCCGGGAUGAUAAUGACAGUACCGGGAGAAUAAGCUCCGGCUAACUCCGUG
This 433-nucleotide ribosomal RNA is filed under the name uncultured bacterium. RNAcentral describes it as "partial 16S ribosomal RNA". It matches the Rfam family "Bacterial small subunit ribosomal RNA", at positions 29 to 507 of the family's 1533-position model. The record is from RNAcentral.